This 119-nucleotide ribosomal RNA is filed under the name Bison bison bison. The record is from RNAcentral. Lineage: Eukaryota; Metazoa; Chordata; Mammalia; Artiodactyla; Bovidae.
GUCUAAGGCCAUAGCACCCUGAAUGCGCCCUAUCUCAUCUGAUCUCGGAAGCUAAGCAGGGUCGGGCCUGGUUAGUACUUGGGUGGGAGACCACCUGGGCAUACCGGGUGCUGUAGGCU